AAAGGCGGUCCUGCCGCCGCAAGAGGAUGGGGCUGCGUCCUAUUAGCUAGUUGGUAGGGUAAUGGCCUACCAAGGCUUUGAUGGGUAGCUGGUCUGAGAGGAUGGCCAGCCACAUUGGGACUGAGAUACGGCCCAGACUCCUACGGGAGGCAGCAGUGGGGAAUCUUGGACAAUGGACGAAAGUCUGAUCCAGCGACACCGCGUGGAGGAUGAAUGCCUUCGGGUUGUAAAACCCUUUUCUGGGGAAAGAAUAAGGACGGGAGGAAAUGCCAGUCCGAUGACGGUACCCCAGGAAUAAGCAUCGGCAAACUUCGUGCCAGCAGCCGCGGUAAGACGAAGGAUGCGAGCGUUAUCCGGAAUUACUGGGCGUAAAGGGCGUCUAGGCGGUCUAGUAAGUCAUUUGUGAAAUCCCUCGGCUCAACCGAGGAGGGUCUUGUGAUACUGCUGGACUUGGGUGUAGGAGAGGAGAGUGGAACUCACAGAGUAGCGGUGGAAUGCGUAGAUACUGUGAGGUACCCCGAUGGCGAAGGCAACUCUCUGGCCUGCCACCGACGCUGAAGCGCGAAAGCGUGGGGAGCAAAGGGGAUUAGAUACCCCCGUAGUCCACGCCCCAAACGAUGUUCACUUGGUGUCGGCCGCAUAUACUGGUCGGUGCCGAAGCUAACGCGUUAAGUGAACCGCCUGAGGAGUACGGCCGCAAGGCUAAAACUCAAGAGAAUUGACGGGUCCCCGCACAAGCGGUGGAGCACGUGGUUUAAUUCGACGAUAAGCGAAGAACCUCACCCAGGCUUGACAUACUAGUGGUAGGAACCUGAAAGGGGGACGACCCUGCCUUCGGGUAGGGAGCUAGUACAGGUGAUGCAUGGCUGUCGUCAGCUCGUGCCGUGGGAUGUAGGGUUAAGUCCCGAAACGAGCGCAACUCUUGUCGUUAGUUGCCAGCGGGUAAUGCCGGGGACUCUAACGAGACUGCUGGUGAAUAGCCGGAGGAAGGCGGGGAUGACGUCAAGUCAUCAUGUCCCUUAUGCCUGGGGCGACACACAUGCUACAAUGGGAGGUACAAAGGGUCGCAAUACCGUAAGGUGGAGCCAAUCUCAAAAAACCUUCCUCAGUUCGGAUUGAGGUCUGCAACUCGACCUCAUGAAGCCGGAAUCGCUAGUAAUCGCAGGUCAGCCACACUGCGGUGAAUAUGUACUCGGGGAUU
This 1201-nucleotide ribosomal RNA is filed under the name metagenome. RNAcentral's name for it is "bacterial SSU rRNA". It matches the Rfam family "Bacterial small subunit ribosomal RNA", at positions 202 to 1382 of the family's 1533-position model. The record is from RNAcentral.